Non-coding RNA from Peromyscus maniculatus bairdii (prairie deer mouse), 706 nucleotides. The record is from RefSeq and is a predicted model, not a curated record. Lineage: Eukaryota; Metazoa; Chordata; Mammalia; Rodentia; Cricetidae.
AGUGAUCAUACAGAUCUGAUGAAAAAAUACUUUCCGGGAUAUUUCUCAGAAAAUCCUAGGUGGGAAAAAAAAACAAAUAUUCAAAUCAUUCUCAUGCAAAAUACAUGUUGAAAAAAGAGCCCUGUCAACUCCGCUGAGCAGUGUACAUGGAAGCAUAGCAUUGGCAUUGGUUCUGGGCCACCUGUCUCUGUCUCUUCUGGAAUGGCACUAACAAGGCUCAGCUCGCAGUCUGAUAAACCAGCAUCAGGCAAGAACUCAGUUUGGUGCCGCACCUGGCUAACUUCACAGUGGAAGAGGCACGUAUGAUCUGUCUUAAAGAAAAACAUCAUUGAAUCUUCAACCCAUGCUUGAGAGAGAACUUGCGGUGUGGCAGUGCACUCCCCACAGCUGGAGCAACAUGUUAUGAAACCAAACAUCACAGGGGAGGCAGAUGGGGAGUCAACUCUGAGUUACAAUGACGGACUUGCUGUGUUCAAUGAAAUGCCUUCCUUCAAAACCAGAGCCUAAGCCAACAACUUUCUGGUUCAUGUGGGAUGAGUCUGUGGACUGAUGAGCUUCCCUUGAGGUAGGGAGGCUCAGAGUCACACUAUCCUGAGCAAUUUUUGUUCAAUGACAGUCUGAAGAGCUAACCUUAUAUUUAAGCAAAACCAUGUAAGUAAAAAAAAAAAAAAAUUAAAGACCUAAAUGACUUCAGACUUUUUUAAAG